Molecule: ribosomal RNA, 826 nt
Filed under: uncultured Alphaproteobacteria bacterium
Lineage: Bacteria; Pseudomonadati; Pseudomonadota; Alphaproteobacteria
Description: bacterial SSU rRNA
Rfam family: Bacterial small subunit ribosomal RNA
Source: RNAcentral
GAGUUUGAUCAUGGCUCAGGAUGAACGCUAGCGGCAGGCCUAACACAUGCAAGUCGAGCGCACCCCUUCGGGGGCGAGCGGCGGACGGGUUAGUAACGCGUGGGAACAUACCCUUCUCUAAGGAAUAGCCUCGGGAAACUGAGAGUAAUACCUUAUACGCCCUUCGGGGGAAAGAUUUAUCGGAGAAGGAUUGGCCCGCGUAAGAUUAGAUAGUUGGUGGGGUAACGGCCUACCAAGUCUACGAUCUUUAGCUGGUUUUAGAGGAUGAUCAGCAACACUGGAACUGAGACACGGUCCAGACUCCUACGGGAGGCAGCAGUGGGGAAUCUUGGACAAUGGGCGCAAGCCUGAUCCAGCCAUGCCGCGUGUGUGAUGAAGGCCUUAGGGUCGUAAAGCACUUUCGCUAGGGAUGAUAAUGACAGUACCUAGUAAAGAAGUCCCGGCUAACUCCGUGCCAGCAGCCGCGGUAAUACGGAGGGGACUAGCGUUGUUCGGAAUUACUGGGCGUAAAGCGUACGUAGGCGGAUCAGAAAGUAUGGGGUGAAACCCCAGGGCUCAACCCUGGAACUGCCUCAUAAACUCCUGGUCUUGAGUUCGAGAGAGGUGAGUGGAAUUCCGAGUGUAGAGGUGAAAUUCGUAGAUAUUCGGAGGAACACCAGUGGCGAAGGCGGCUCACUGGCUCGAUACUGACGCUGAGGUACGAAAGUGUGGGGAGCAAACAGGAUUAGAUACCCUGGUAGUCCACACCGUAAACGAUGAAUGCCAGUCGUCGGGUAGCAUGCUAUUCGGUGACACACCUAACGGAUUAAGCAUUCCGCCUGGGGAG